GUCGAGCGAGCGGAACUAACAGAUUUACUUCGGUAAUGACGUUAGGAAAGCGAGCGGCGGAUGGGUGAGUAACACGUGGGGAAUCUGCCCCAUAGUCUGGGAUACCACUUGGAAACAGGUGCUAAUACCGGAUAAGAAAGCAGAUCGCAUGAUCAGCUUUUAAAAGGCGGCGUAAGCUGUCGCUAUGGGAUGGCCCCGCGGUGCAUUAGCUAGUUGGUAAGGUAAAGGCUUACCAAGGCGAUGAUGCAUAGCCGAGUUGAGAGACUGAUCGGCCACAUUGGGACUGAGACACGGCCCAAACUCCUACGGGAGGCAGCAGUAGGGAAUCUUCCACAAUGGACGCAAGUCUGAUGGAGCAACGCCGCGUGAGUGAAGAAGGUUUUCGGAUCGUAAAGCUCUGUUGUUGGUGAAGAAGGAUAGAGGUAGUAACUGGCCUUUAUUUGACGGUAAUCAACCAGAAAGUCACGGCUAACUACGUGCCAGCAGCCGCGGUAAUACGUAGGUGGCAAGCGUUGUCCGGAUUUAUUGGGCGUAAAGCGAGCGCAGGCGGAAGAAUAAGUCUGAUGUGAAAGCCCUCGGCUUAACCGAGGAACUGCAUCGGAAACUGUCUUUCUUGAGUGCAGAAGAGGAGAGUGGAACUCCAUGUGUAGCGGUGGAAUGCGUAGAUAUAUGGAAGAACACCAGUGGCGAAGGCGGCUCUCUGGUCUGCAACUGACGCUGAGGCUCGAAAGCAUGGGU
RNAcentral lists this ribosomal RNA (738 nucleotides) under uncultured bacterium. RNAcentral describes it as "bacterial SSU rRNA". It matches the Rfam family "Bacterial small subunit ribosomal RNA", at positions 61 to 766 of the family's 1533-position model. The record is from RNAcentral.